UUGAAUGAAACCUAAAUCCCAUUUCCUCACCUGUAACCUAAGUGUGGAAGAGUCGGCUACCACGCUGUGCAGUCCUCCCGCCUCAGCCUCCCGCGGACUGGAAUUCAGGCAUGCGUCACAUAUCCAGCUAACAACCUAUCCCCUUGACACCUGUCUGUGGAGUCUGUUUCCUGUCUCUCUCAUGGGUUAUGUGCUCUCUACUCUUUUUAUUUGUUUCUUCAUUCACCUAGUGCUGUCUGUCCCUGCCAUACAAAAGCAUCAUAUGUAUUUGUCUCAUUUAUUUUCUCGUCACUGGGACACAAUUCCCGACACCCACAAUUCUAAGAAGGAGAGGUUUACUUUAGCUCGCAGUGUGUAGAGGUUUCAGUCCAUAGUCUUCUGGCUCCAAGGCGGGUGGCAUGGCAGAGAAGAAAGAUUUCAGGGCUUGGAAGCAAAGCUAUUGCAGAGGAGGCAAAUGACUCAGCUUUCAGGCCACGCCCCAGUGACCACGCCUCCACCAGGCUCCACCUCCCGACAUCUCAUUGGCUGUAAACCCAUCAGUGGGCCAAUCCACUGACCAGGAUCACAGCUGCAUGACCCAAUCACCUCCCCAAAGUCCCACCUAUGAUCUCAUGGCUUUUGGGGUCCCAUCCAGACAUAGACCACAGCAGUAUUCACUCAAGGACCCUUAACAUGAAGCCCUCCCUAGUCCGCCCAGCUGGAAGUCCUCAAUAGGACUCCUGAAUUCUCACAGUUCUUUGUCUUCGCUCCAUUAGGAGUAUUCAGUAUUUUGAGUUGGAAUUACAUGAGGAAAGAGGAUUGUGUGCUGGUUAGAACCAGACCCUAUAUUCAAAUUCCAGUCCAGCCAGGCAUGGUGGUGCAUGCCUUUCAUUCCAGUACUCGGGAGACCGUGGCAGGAGGAUUCCCAUAAGUUAGAGGCCAGCCUGGGCUGCAUAGCGAGAUCCUGUCUCAAACAACAAAAGAAAACGUUCAAGGACUCACGGCGUCUUUCAAAGGGCAUAACGAACACUUCCGGCCACGGCACCUUGGUCAGGGCCAUUGGAUCCACAAGGAAAUAUUUUAGUCACGUAAAUCUCCAGAGCAAGGUGAGCAGGGCUCAUCCCUUCUCCUUGGCAGGCCUGGGCAUCUCAUGCAAGCACCCCGAUUCCCUCCAGCUCCCCAGUGUCACGUCUUCACCGCUGCACGCCCUGAUACCAAAGUCACUGUCCCCAUCUCUGGGCCGCAGGACCCAACACCCACAGCUUAGAGGAAGAGGGAGGGGUUUAUUUUGUCUCACAGUUUUCAGAGGUUUCAGUCCACUGUCAGCUGGCUCCAAGCAUGGGGUCAUCACAGAGGAGACACAGCUCAGGGCCUGGCGUCCCGGAAGUAGAGCUUGUAGGAAGUGA
This 1385-nucleotide long non-coding RNA is filed under the name Fukomys damarensis (Damara mole-rat). RNAcentral's name for it is "lncRNA (ENSFDAG00000031589.1)". Lineage: Eukaryota; Metazoa; Chordata; Mammalia; Rodentia; Bathyergidae. The record is from RNAcentral.